RNAcentral lists this transfer RNA (77 nucleotides) under Methanobacteriota archaeon. Its description in RNAcentral is "Euryarchaeota archaeon tRNA-Met". It matches the Rfam family "tRNA". Rfam says of the family: Transfer RNA (tRNA) molecules are approximately 80 nucleotides in length. Their secondary structure includes four short double-helical elements and three loops (D, anti-codon, and T loops). Further hydrogen bonds mediate the characteristic L-shaped molecular structure. tRNAs have two regions of fundamental functional importance: the anti-codon, which is responsible for specific mRNA codon recognition, and the 3' end, to which the tRNAs corresponding amino acid is attached (by aminoacyl-tRNA synthetases). tRNAs cope with the degeneracy of the genetic code in two manners: having more than one tRNA (with a specific anti-codon) for a particular amino acid; and 'wobble' base-pairing, i.e. permitting non-standard base-pairing at the 3rd anti-codon position. The record is from RNAcentral. RNAcentral also lists the same sequence under 2 other names. Lineage: Archaea; Methanobacteriati; Methanobacteriota.
GGGCCUGUAGCUUAGUCGGUUAGAGCGCCCGGCUCAUAACCGGGAGGUCAGGGGUUCAACUCCCUUCGGGCCCACCA